GGAUCCCUACGGGGGGCAGCAGUGAGGAAUAUUGGUCAAUGGACGAGAGUCUGAACCAGCCAAGUAGCGUGAAGGAUGACUGCCCUAUGGGUUGUAAACUUCUUUUAUAUGGGAAUAAAACGUUCCACGUGUGGGAUUUUGUAUGUACCAUAUGAAUAAGGAUCGGCUAACUCCGUGCCAGCAGCCGCGGUAAUACGGAGGAUCCGAGCGUUAUCCGGAUUUAUUGGGUUUAAAGGGUGCGUAGGCGGAUUUUUAAGUCAGCGGUAAAAUGUCCGGGCUCAACCCGGGCCGGCCGUUGAAACUGG
Molecule: ribosomal RNA, 305 nt
Filed under: uncultured bacterium
Lineage: Bacteria
Description: bacterial SSU rRNA
Rfam family: Bacterial small subunit ribosomal RNA
Source: RNAcentral